RNAcentral lists this ribosomal RNA (465 nucleotides) under Vreelandella stevensii. Its description in RNAcentral is "partial 16S ribosomal RNA". It matches the Rfam family "Bacterial small subunit ribosomal RNA", at positions 338 to 795 of the family's 1533-position model. Lineage: Bacteria; Pseudomonadati; Pseudomonadota; Gammaproteobacteria; Oceanospirillales; Halomonadaceae. The record is from RNAcentral.
CCUACGGGGGUCAGCAGUGGGGAAUAUUGGACAAUGGGGGCAACCCUGAUCCAGCCAUGCCGCGUGUGUGAAGAAGGCCCUCGGGUUGUAAAGCACUUUCAGUGAGGAAGAACGCCUGGUGGUUAAUACCCAUCAGGAAAGACAUCACUCACAGAAGAAGCACCGGCUAACUCCGUGCCAGCAGCCGCGGUAAUACGGAGGGUGCGAGCGUUAAUCGGAAUUACUGGGCGUAAAGCGCGCGUAGGUGGCUUGAUAAGCCGGUUGUGAAAGCCCCGGGCUCAACCUGGGAACGGCAUCCGGAACUGUCAAGCUAGAGUGCAGGAGAGGAAGGUAGAAUUCCCGGUGUAGCGGUGAAAUGCGUAGAGAUCGGGAGGAAUACCAGUGGCGAAGGCGGCCUUCUGGACUGACACUGACACUGAGGUGCGAAAGCGUGGGUAGCAAACAGGAUUAGAUACCCCUGUAGUC